UACGUAGGGGGCGAGCGUUGUCCGGAUUUAUUGGGCGUAAAGAGCUCGUAGGCGGCUUGGCAAGUCGGGUGUGAAACCUCCAGGCUCAACCUGGAGACGCCACUCGAUACUGCUAUGGCUAGAGUCCGGUAGGGGACCACGGAAUUCCUGGUGUAGCGGUGAAAUGCGCAGAUAUCAGGAGGAACACCGGUGGCGAAGGCGGUGGUCUGGGCCUUACCUGACGCUGAGGAGCGAAAGCUGGGGGAGCGAACAGG
Molecule: ribosomal RNA, 254 nt
Filed under: uncultured bacterium
Lineage: Bacteria
Description: partial 16S ribosomal RNA
Rfam family: Bacterial small subunit ribosomal RNA
Source: RNAcentral